AACCCUUCGAAUCCGUGCUGAGAUUUCGUCAGACACCGACCCAUUAGGGCUGAUCAGACUUCCAAGAUAAGUAAAGUU
This 78-nucleotide microRNA precursor is filed under the name Schistosoma curassoni. RNAcentral's name for it is "mir-3492 microRNA precursor family". It matches the Rfam family "mir-3492 microRNA precursor family". Lineage: Eukaryota; Metazoa; Platyhelminthes; Trematoda; Strigeidida; Schistosomatidae. The record is from Rfam by way of RNAcentral.